UUAUGCCAAUAUUGAACACGAUA
Molecule: non-coding RNA, 23 nt
Filed under: Arabidopsis thaliana (thale cress)
Lineage: Eukaryota; Viridiplantae; Streptophyta; Magnoliopsida; Brassicales; Brassicaceae
Source: RNAcentral